UGUUCAUUCGUCAUUCUUUCAAUACUGUGAUUUCGUCAUCAGAUGCGUCGCCUGCCGCCGGUUCACAUUCGUUGAGUACCACACGACAUGGAUUGGUGGAGCCAUAUCAACAGUGGACUACUGGCUUGGCGUGGUAGGAGUAGAUGGAGUUUGAAGCAAUUCUGGCUGGGUUGUGUGUGUUGGCGGUUAAUUGCGUGGGAAUGAAGGGGCAACCUGUAUGCGUUUUUCAGUAGCAGUAGCAAUUUCUUCUCCAGAUUAACUAUCCUCUCUUUGAACAUUCUGCAACAUGAAACGCCCCCUGAAUGGUACGAGUUGAUGAUUUAUGCUCACAAGUUGGUUUAUGUUCUGCCAAAAGGGAUCAAUCUAAGAGUACCAAGGGAGCAAAUGUGAGGUGCAGUUUCAGCAAAUCAACAAAUCUUAUGAUAUGAUAUCCUUCUUCCCCAUUCCUAGCCUGCUCCUCCUAUUUGCAGCCCUAUUACUAUACACUCAACAGAACUCUUGAGCCUUGACUAAAUGCAAGGAAGUAUACCUUCAUACUGAAAAGAAGGCAGCUUCAGUUAGACCUUGGCCAGCCACAUAAACUAAAAAGAAGAAAAAUUAUGUACGCUUUGGAUGUGAUGCUGACUUAGCAUCUGGAUUAUCUUCAGAUGAUGGGCAUAUGAAGCAAAUCAAGUCACCAAAUAACCAAUUUGCAUGUAAAUCAUCAUUGUAUCCUAUCCCUUUUCACUAUUUGUUUUUUUAUUUUCUAGAACUUUUUAAACUGCCAAAUAACUGGCUACUAAAUGGCAUGAUAAUUGCUAUUUAAGUUUGUGUACAAUAUUUAGUGCAGAAUAUGAUCACACAUUGAUGAACUUCAUAUUUCAU
Molecule: long non-coding RNA, 864 nt
Organism: Lotus japonicus
Lineage: Eukaryota; Viridiplantae; Streptophyta; Magnoliopsida; Fabales; Fabaceae
Exons: 5
Source: RefSeq, a predicted model, not a curated record